This 772-nucleotide ribosomal RNA is filed under the name Salmonella enterica. RNAcentral describes it as "partial 23S ribosomal RNA". It matches the Rfam family "Bacterial large subunit ribosomal RNA", at positions 2171 to 2925 of the family's 2925-position model. RNAcentral also lists the same sequence under 1 other name. Lineage: Bacteria; Pseudomonadati; Pseudomonadota; Gammaproteobacteria; Enterobacterales; Enterobacteriaceae. The record is from RNAcentral.
CCAGUCUGCAUGGAGCCGACCUUGAAAUACCACCCUUUAAUGUUUGAUGUUCUAACGUGGACCCGUAAUCCGGGUUGCGGACAGUGUCUGGUGGGUAGUUUGACUGGGGCGGUCUCCUCCUAAAGAGUAACGGAGGAGCACGAAGGUUGGCUAAUCCUGGUCGGACAUCAGGAGGUUAGUGCAAUGGCAUAAGCCAGCUUGACUGCGAGCGUGACGGCGCGAGCAGGUGCGAAAGCAGGUCAUAGUGAUCCGGUGGUUCUGAAUGGAAGGGCCAUCGCUCAACGGAUAAAAGGUACUCCGGGGAUAACAGGCUGAUACCGCCCAAGAGUUCAUAUCGACGGCGGUGUUUGGCACCUCGAUGUCGGCUCAUCACAUCCUGGGGCUGAAGUAGGUCCCAAGGGUAUGGCUGUUCGCCAUUUAAAGUGGUACGCGAGCUGGGUUUAGAACGUCGUGAGACAGUUCGGUCCCUAUCUGCCGUGGGCGCUGGAGAACUGAGGGGGGCUGCUCCUAGUACGAGAGGACCGGAGUGGACGCAUCACUGGUGUUCGGGUUGUCAUGCCAAUGGCACUGCCCGGUAGCUAAAUGCGGAAGAGAUAAGUGCUGAAAGCAUCUAAGCACGAAACUUGCCCCGAGAUGAGUUCUCCCUGAGACUUUAGGUCUCCUGAAGGAACGUUGAAGACGACGACGUUGAUAGGCCGGGUGUGUAAGCGCAGCGAUGCGUUGAGCUAACCGGUACUAAUGAACCGUGAGGCUUAACCUUACAACGCCGAAG